ACGCGGUGAAUACGUUCCCGGGCCUUGCACACACCGCCCGUCAAGCCAUGGAAGCCGGGUGUACCUAAAGUCGGUAACCGUAAGGAGCCGCCUAGGGUAAAACUGGUAACUGGGGCU
RNAcentral lists this ribosomal RNA (117 nucleotides) under uncultured bacterium. RNAcentral describes it as "partial 16S ribosomal RNA". It matches the Rfam family "Bacterial small subunit ribosomal RNA", at positions 1357 to 1482 of the family's 1533-position model. The record is from RNAcentral.